Molecule: ribosomal RNA, 465 nt
Filed under: uncultured bacterium
Lineage: Bacteria
Description: partial 16S ribosomal RNA
Rfam family: Bacterial small subunit ribosomal RNA
Source: RNAcentral
CUACGGGACGCACCAGUGAGGAAUUUUGCGCAAUGGGGGGAACCCUGACGCAGCAACGCCGCGUGAGUGAAGAAGGCCUUUGGGUCGUAAAGCUCUGUCAACUGGGAAGAAAUUAGAGUUGUUUAACAGAUGAUUCUAUUGACGGUACCAGUGGAGGAAGCGCCGGCUACCUCCGUGCCAGCAGCCGCGGUAACACGGGGGGCGCAAGCGUGAUUCGGAAUUAUUGGGCGUAAAGGGCGCGCAGGCGGUCUUGUCGGUCAGGUGUGAAAGCCCGGGGCUCAACCCUGGAAGUGCACUUGAAACAGCAAGACUUGAGUACGGGAGAGGAAAGCGGAAUUCCUGGUGUAGAGGUGAAAUUCGUAGAUAUCAGGAGGAACACCGAUGGCGAAGGCAGCUUUCUGGACCGAUACUGACGCUGAGGCGCGAAGGCGUGGGUAGCGAACGGGAUUAGAUACCCCGGUAGUC